GACGAACGCUGGCGGCGUGCUUAACACAUGCAAGUCGAGCGGAAAGGCGCUGCGUUUGUGGGGUGCUCGAGUGGCGAGCGGGUGAGUAACACGUGAGUAACCUGCCCUUGACUGUGGGAUAACUUCAGGAAACUGGGGCUAAUACCGGAUAGGAGCUCCUGCUGCAUGGUGGGGGUUGGAAAGUGUCGGCGGUUGGGGAUGGACUCGCGGCUUAUCAGCUUGUUGGUGGGGUAGUGGCUUACCAAGGCUUUGACGGGUAGCCGGCCUGAGAGGGUGACCGGCCACAUUGGGACUGAGAGACGGCGCAGACUCCUACGUGACGCAGCAGUGGGGAAUAUUGCACAAUGGGCGGAAGCCUGAUGCAGCAACGCCGCGUGCGGGAUGACGGCCUUCGGGUUGUAAACCGCUUUCGCCUGUGACGAAGCGUGAGUGACGGUAAUGGGUAAAGAAGCACCGGCUAACUACGUG
Molecule: ribosomal RNA, 468 nt
Filed under: uncultured bacterium
Lineage: Bacteria
Description: partial 16S ribosomal RNA
Rfam family: Bacterial small subunit ribosomal RNA
Source: RNAcentral